CCUACGGGAGGCAGCAGUGAGGAAUAUUGGUCAAUGGGCGCGAGCCUGAACCAGCCAAGUAGCGUGCAGGAUGACUGCCCUACGGGUUGUAAACUUCUUUUAUACAGGAAUAAAGUGAGGUACGUGUGCCUUUUUGUAUGUACUUUAUGAAUAAGGAUCGGCUAACUCCGUGCCAGCAGCCGCGGUAAUACGGAGGAUCCGAGCGUUAUCCGGAUUUAUUGGGUUUAAAGGGAGCGUAGACGGGCUGUUAAGUUAGUUGUGAAAGUUUGUGGCUCAACCCUAGAAUUGCAUCGGAUACUGGCAGUCUUGAGUGUAGUUGAGGUAGGCGGAAUUCGUGGUGUAGCGGUGAAAUGCUUAGAGAUCAUGAAGAACUCCGAUUGCGAAGGCAGCUUACUAAACUGCUACUGACGUUGAUGCACGAAAGCGUGGGUAUCAAACAGGAUUAGAUACCCUUGUAGUC
This 460-nucleotide ribosomal RNA is filed under the name uncultured bacterium. RNAcentral describes it as "partial 16S ribosomal RNA". It matches the Rfam family "Bacterial small subunit ribosomal RNA", at positions 338 to 795 of the family's 1533-position model. The record is from RNAcentral.